ACGCUCGACACCUACGGGAGGCGGCAGUGGGGAAUAUUGCACAAUGGGGGAAACCCUGAUGCAGCGACGCCGCGUGAGCGAAGAAGUAUUUCGGUAUGUAAAGCUCUAUCAGCAGGGAAGAAACUGACGGUACCUGACUAAGAAGCACCGGCUAAAUACGUGCCAGCAGCCGCGGUAAUCUGAGCGGGCUGGCAAGGC
Molecule: ribosomal RNA, 198 nt
Filed under: uncultured bacterium
Lineage: Bacteria
Description: partial 16S ribosomal RNA
Rfam family: Bacterial small subunit ribosomal RNA
Source: RNAcentral